RNAcentral lists this microRNA precursor (591 nucleotides) under Brassica napus (rape). RNAcentral describes it as "MIR824 microRNA precursor family". It matches the Rfam family "MIR824 microRNA precursor family". The record is from Rfam by way of RNAcentral. Lineage: Eukaryota; Viridiplantae; Streptophyta; Magnoliopsida; Brassicales; Brassicaceae.
CUCGAGUUCUCUCUCAUGUCUAGACCAUUUGUGAGAAGGGAUUUUCUAUUUGCAUCAUUCACUCCCACCAAUCUCUAAGUAUGCAAUAAGUAUUAUUCUCACUUAAGAAAAAAGCAAUCCUAUUAUUUGAGAUGCUUCUACAGCUUGAAAUAUGUUGUUUAGUUCUUUAUAUGGUUACCAAAACGUUAAGAAACCAUGUGAACAUUCCCCCAAAAAUUAAAGGUCUAGCCUGUAGGUCACAGUCAUUAGAGCCACUCUCACUUCUCGUUUUUUUUUUUGUCAAACCACUUCUCGUUUAAAAUGUGUUACUUCUUCCAUCAAAAUCUGAUCCUUGAGGAGUUAGGUCCAUAAGUAAGUACACAGAGUGAACACAUAACUUGAUAAAAUCAUUUACACUUUGGACAAUUUCCCAUGAGAUGCCAAACUUUUCAAUGGAGUUUGAGUUUUUCAAUGAUAGCUAAAAUUUGUAUCUAGCACUACUUAUAGCUACACUAGUAUACUUGAUAAUAUUUUGAGAGGAGUGGGGGAGAUGCUGUGUUAUUAUUCCCUUCUCAUCGAUGGUCUAGAUGUGUGAGGUGACUCUCAUGGAAG